This is a non-coding RNA of Danio rerio (zebrafish), 499 nucleotides long. NCBI's taxonomy places the organism in Eukaryota, Metazoa, Chordata, Actinopteri, Cypriniformes, Danionidae. The record is from Ensembl.
GGGAAAUCAAAGACUGGAUGAACGCUGGGGAAACUGACGGAGAGGUGAGCUCUGGAAAGGAGGAAGGAUACUUCCUGUUCCUACUGGAGUGACCCGCAGGUCUGAGGAGGAGUGAGGGAGUGAGAGAGAAGGCGGAGGAAGCGAUGUUCGUGUGGGUUUCCUCCUGGUGCUUCGGUUUCCCCCAGAGUCCAAAUGCAAGUAAUUUUGGAAACCGUAACCAUAGACUUCCAUGAAUUGGAGAAAAAACACCUUGUGAAACCUGCUGUGGAAGUAAAAGUACCCAUUGUGUGUGGAGCAAUGUUGUAAUAGACAAACAAGGACAAAAAUCUGCAUCUAAUCCUCUCAGGUGAGCAAUGACUCGGACCUGCAGAGUUAGCUGGAUGUCUGGUUCUCUUGGCUUCAGCCUGGAAAAGUGCUGAUUGUGGAAGGGUUGCUGGAGGAGCUCUCUCUUGGGCAGAUGGUGAGGAGACAGGGGGAGUUUUCACCCUGCUGCUUAGCC